GAUGAACGCUGGCGGCGUGCCUAAUACAUGCAAGUCGAGCGAACAGACGAGGAGCUUGCUCCUCUGACGUUAGCGGCGGACGGGUGAGUAACACGUGGAUAACCUACCUAUAAGACUGGGAUAACUUCGGGAAACCGGAGCUAAUACCGGAUAAUAUAUUGAACCGCAUGGUUCAAUAGUGAAAGACGGUUUUGCUGUCACUUAUAGAUGGAUCCGCGCCGCAUUAGCUAGUUGGUAAGGUAACGGCUUACCAAGGCAACGAUGCGUAGCCGACCUGAGAGGGCGAUCAGCCACACUGGAACUGAGACACGGUCCAGACUCCUACGGGAGGCAGCAGUAGGGAAUCUUCCGCAAUGGGCGCAAGCUUGACGGAGCAACGCCGCGUGAGUGAUGAAGGUCUUCGGAUCGUAAAACUCUGUUAUUAGGGAAGAAAAAAUGUGUAAGUAACUAUGCACGUCUUGACGGUACCUAAUCAGAAAGCCACGGCUAACUACGUG
RNAcentral lists this ribosomal RNA (497 nucleotides) under uncultured bacterium. RNAcentral describes it as "partial 16S ribosomal RNA". It matches the Rfam family "Bacterial small subunit ribosomal RNA", at positions 28 to 507 of the family's 1533-position model. The record is from RNAcentral.